AAACUUUCGACAACGGAUCUCUUGGUUCUCCCAUCGAUGAAGAACGCAGCGAAAUGCGAUAAGUAAUGUGAAUUGCAGAAUUCAAGUGAAUCAUCGAAUCUUUGAACGCACCUUGCGCUCUUGGGUAAUCCCAAGAGCAUGCCUGUUUGAGUGUCAU
This 157-nucleotide ribosomal RNA is filed under the name Gjaerumia minor. RNAcentral's name for it is "5.8S ribosomal RNA". It matches the Rfam family "5.8S ribosomal RNA". From Rfam's summary of the family: 5.8S ribosomal RNA (5.8S rRNA) is a component of the large subunit of the eukaryotic ribosome. It is transcribed by RNA polymerase I as part of the 45S precursor that also contains 18S and 28S rRNA. Functionally, it is thought that 5.8S rRNA may be involved in ribosome translocation. Lineage: Eukaryota; Fungi; Basidiomycota; Exobasidiomycetes; Georgefischeriales; Gjaerumiaceae. The record is from RNAcentral.